Molecule: long non-coding RNA, 520 nt
Filed under: Medicago truncatula (barrel medic)
Lineage: Eukaryota; Viridiplantae; Streptophyta; Magnoliopsida; Fabales; Fabaceae
Description: lncRNA gene35124
Source: RNAcentral
GUAAAUUUUGAGAGUAGGGAACUAAUUUUAUUCUGUUCCAUACCUAGUUAUAUUCGGAUAUACAUUUUUAAUUUUGUUUGUGAAAAUCAUUUAGCUGUUUUUUAUGACAUUGUACGAUAAUGAUUUUUAGUUGUUAUGUAUUUGUGAAAUCAGAUGAAUUUAUUUGAUAUUUGAUUUGUUUGUUGUGAAAUGGCUUUGUUUUGCAGCCUCCACCAAACAGCUGAAGAUCUCUUGUUAAUAGGUUUUUCGGUUCGCACGGAGGCUAAAAUUAUUAGGGUUUUACUCUCUGAAUCUUGAAUCUUCUUGAAUGAAAAGGAACAACAAUUUAGUAUGAUUGUUCUUUUCUCAUCUAGUUUCAGACAUUGCUUCUUGUUGUUAUAAUCACUUUCAAGAAUUUCAUGUCAGUUUGUAACAUCUAGGUUCUGUGGGUUUGAUUAUGCCUUUUAUUUUUUGUGUAUGGAUACUAAUUAGUUGUAUGAAAAUGUGUAUCUUUGUAUGGUUUUUUGUUUGAAAAUCUCUC